RNAcentral lists this transfer RNA (71 nucleotides) under Corynebacterium glutamicum. RNAcentral's name for it is "tRNA-Asn". It matches the Rfam family "tRNA". From Rfam's summary of the family: Transfer RNA (tRNA) molecules are approximately 80 nucleotides in length. Their secondary structure includes four short double-helical elements and three loops (D, anti-codon, and T loops). The record is from RNAcentral. Lineage: Bacteria; Bacillati; Actinomycetota; Actinomycetes; Mycobacteriales; Corynebacteriaceae.
UCCUCCAUAGCUCAGUUGGCAGAGCAUUCGACUGUUAAUCGAAGGGUCACUGGUUCGAGCCCGAGGAGCAA